UCAGGGUCUAACUUCAAGGUUCACUUAAGGGGGACCCAUGGGUGUCCUCACAAUGCGGUGCCGCGCAGCGCCAGGCCAUCUCCGGGGAUCACGUCUUAACUGGAAUGGGACUUUUGACGGGCAGAAUUGGAAGUGCAGUCCAAGAAAGGCGUGCGGACAUAGAGAGCAAGUUGUGGUGUCUGGUCGUUCAAACGCCUCUGGAAAGGUUCUCCAAGAAGCCUCUCUUCACCUCCUCCUUCCCUAUGAGUUCUCAUACCACACCGGAGAUCUGGCAUGGAGGAGUGGCAAAUAUUUGCAAUAGGCAAAAGAGAUGACUCAGUCAAGUGCUGCACAUCAAGGACCUGAGUUCAAAUCGCCAGAACACAGUAAAAGAAACUGACUACAUGGAUUUCCAGUCUUUUCACCCCAACUUUGAAAUGCUACAAAUCCAAUGUAACAGACAAGGAUCUCUGCAGCUGGUCUCUUUCCAUCCUCUGCCAUUUUGUAACAUCUCCAGGUCCUCUCUAUGUCUGGAUCAGUUUGGUUUUUGAAAGAGAGGUGGCCUGGAACUAGUGGCAGUCCUCCUGCCUCAACCUCCCAAAUAUUCUGACUAUAGAAAUACAGUAUAACACCCAGCUGAGACUGCAGGUUGUUUCAUCCACUGUGGGCCUGCUGUCUAGACUGAGACAGACUAUGAAGUUCAGGGUCCUCUGAACCCAACCACAACAGCCUUGGCCUCCCUGGAAAGCCUCCAUAUAAGCUGAGAUGAAGCCA
Molecule: long non-coding RNA, 753 nt
Filed under: Rattus norvegicus (Norway rat)
Lineage: Eukaryota; Metazoa; Chordata; Mammalia; Rodentia; Muridae
Description: long non-coding RNA NONRATT020596
Source: RNAcentral